This 460-nucleotide ribosomal RNA is filed under the name uncultured bacterium. RNAcentral describes it as "partial 16S ribosomal RNA". It matches the Rfam family "Bacterial small subunit ribosomal RNA", at positions 338 to 795 of the family's 1533-position model. The record is from RNAcentral.
CCUACGGGAGGCAGCAGUGAGGAAUAUUGGUCAAUGGGCGAGAGCCUGAACCAGCCAAGUCGCGUGAAGGAUGACGGCCCUACGGGUUGUAAACUUCUUUUGUCAGGGAGCAAUUGAGUCCACGUGUGGGCUUAGCGAGAGUACCUGAAGAAAAAGCAUCGGCUAACUCCGUGCCAGCAGCCGCGGUAAUACGGAGGAUGCGAGCGUUAUCCGGAUUUAUUGGGGUUAAAGGGUGCGUAGGCGGUCCGUUAAGUCAGCGGGAAAAUUGCGGGGCUCAACCCCGUCGAGCCGUUGAAACUGGCAGACUUGAGUUGGCGAGAGGUACGCGGAAUGCGCGGUGUAGCGGUGAAAUGCGUAGAUAUCGCGCAGAACUCCGAUUGCGAAGGCGGCGUACCGGCGCCAGACUGACGCUGAGGCACGAAAGCGUGGGGAUCGAACAGGAUUAGAUACCCUGGUAGUC